GGGGUCGAUCGGUUUCGACGGUGACCUGUUCGUCGCAGGGAAGCGUGCCGAGAAUGCGGGGGUCCGCUCGUUAAUGUCCUCCCGCAAAACAAUAAGUGCCAAAUCUAAUCGCACUGAGUUCGCUCUCGCCGCCUAAGCUUUCGCGCUGGGAUUAACCGGUGAGCAGCCGCUCCGUUCGCUCUCUCAUGUCUUUGGGGAGAUGUCGAGCGUCAUUAAAAGACUUGCCUGACGCGCUGUUUCUCAGGACGCGCCGGGGACUUUAACUGUGAAUAUGCCUGCUGUCGGCAGUUUGCGGCACAGACAGGGGCAGACAGAUAGCCAUUCGGUCAGCAGACUACGCACGUAGAAGACUGGGAGUACGGUUACCGGACCCGGGUUCAAUUCCCGGCGGCUCCACA
This 398-nucleotide transfer-messenger RNA is filed under the name bovine gut metagenome. It matches the Rfam family "transfer-messenger RNA". From Rfam's summary of the family: Bacterial tmRNA, also known as 10Sa RNA or SsrA, is named for its dual tRNA and mRNA-like properties. Its role is to liberate the mRNA from a stalled ribosome. To accomplish this part of the tmRNA is used as a reading frame that ends in a translation stop signal. RNAcentral also lists the same sequence under 1 other name. The record is from RNAcentral.